Molecule: long non-coding RNA, 398 nt
Organism: Talpa occidentalis (Iberian mole)
Lineage: Eukaryota; Metazoa; Chordata; Mammalia; Eulipotyphla; Talpidae
Exons: 3
Source: RefSeq, a predicted model, not a curated record
GUGGUUCAUGGAUUCAGUCAGAAGUCAGCUGGCAGAUUUUUCUACUCCAUGUGAGAACAACCAGGCAUCAACUGAUAAAGCUCCCAACAGUGCUUCCACAUUCCUGCUGCCAGACAAUUUCUGAGAUGCAUGCUGGACAAUUCUCUGAGUGCAAUAUAGAGUAGGUAAGAGCAGAGUCUCUGGAGCCAGCUCAUGAACCAGAUUUGCCAGUGCUCAUCCUUCUACCUGGACCAAACCUGUCUGUUCUUGGGCUGAUAAAAAUAGCCUCUGUGGCCUCCCCAGUGGCACAGUGGUUGAGCACUGGGUUGUGAAGCUGCCUGAAGCCUCUGCGGCGCCUGUUUGAUCCCCGGCUGCUCCCCGGCCACCGGAGGAGGGUCCCACAUGGCACGCAGACCUCU